ACGGGAGGCAGCAGUGAGGAAUAUUGGUCAAUGGGCGGAAGCCUGAACCAGCCAAGUCGCGUGAAGGAUGAAGGUAUUAUGUAUUGUAAACUUCUUUAGUCGCAGAGAAAUAAGGGGAUCGUGAUCCCUGAUGCUAGUAUGCGAAGAAUAAGGAUCGGCUAACUCCGUGCCAGCAGCCGCGGUAAUACGGAGGAUCCGAGCGUUAUCCGGAUUUAUUGGGUUUAAAGGGUGCGCAGGCGGUCUUUUAAGUCAGUGGUAAAAUCGGGGGGCUCACCCCCAUCCCGCCAUUGAUACUGGAGGACUUGAUUGCGGUCGAGGUUGGCGGAAUUCGUCGUGUAGCGGUGAAAUGCAUAGAUAUGACGAAGAACACCGAUUGCGUAGGCAGCUGACCAGGCCGUAAAUGACGCUCAUGCACGAAAGUGCGGGGAUCGAACAGGAUUAGAUACCCUGGUA
RNAcentral lists this ribosomal RNA (453 nucleotides) under uncultured bacterium. RNAcentral describes it as "partial 16S ribosomal RNA". It matches the Rfam family "Bacterial small subunit ribosomal RNA", at positions 341 to 792 of the family's 1533-position model. The record is from RNAcentral.